Molecule: ribosomal RNA, 463 nt
Filed under: uncultured bacterium
Lineage: Bacteria
Description: partial 16S ribosomal RNA
Rfam family: Bacterial small subunit ribosomal RNA
Source: RNAcentral
ACGAACGCUGGCGGCGUGCUUAACACAUGCAAGUUGAACGGAAAGGCCCUGCUUGCAGGGUACUCGAGUGGCGAACGGGUGAGUAACACGUGGGUGAUCUGCCCUGCACUUCGGGAUAAGCCUGGGAAACUGGGUCUAAUACCGGAUAGGAGCCAUUUUUAGUGUGAUGGUUGGAAAGUUUUUUCGGUGUAGGAUGAGCUCGCGGCCUAUCAGCUUGUUGGUGGGGUAAUGGCCUACCAAGGCGGCGACGGGUAGCCGGCCUGAGAGGGUGGACGGCCACAUUGGGACUGAGAUACGGCCCAGACUCCUACGGGAGGCAGCAGUGGGGAAUAUUGCACAAUGGGCGCAAGCCUGAUGCAGCGACGCCGCGUGGGGGAUGACGGCCUUCGGGUUGUAAACUCCUUUCGCUAGGGACGAAGCUUUUGUGACGGUACCUAGAUAAGAAGCACCGGCUAACUACGUG